Molecule: ribosomal RNA, 253 nt
Filed under: uncultured archaeon
Lineage: Archaea
Description: partial 16S ribosomal RNA
Rfam family: Archaeal small subunit ribosomal RNA
Source: RNAcentral
CACCAGCGCCACAAGUGGUCAUCGCGAUUAUUGGGCCUAAAGCGUUCGUAGCCGGCUUGGUAAAUCUCUUGUGAAAUUGUUCGGCUUAACCGAUACAGCGUGCAGGGGACACUACCAAGCUCGAGACCGGGAGGGGUCAGAGGUAUUCUAUAGGGACCGGUAAAAUGGGAUAAUCUAUAGAGGACCACCGAUGGCGAAGGCAUCUGACCAGAACGGUUCUGACGGUGAGGAACGAAAGCCAGGGGAGCGAACC